Molecule: ribosomal RNA, 434 nt
Filed under: Terebellides sp. NTNU-VM-72565
Lineage: Eukaryota; Metazoa; Annelida; Polychaeta; Terebellida; Trichobranchidae
Also listed under: 2 other names
Description: partial 16S ribosomal RNA
Rfam family: Bacterial large subunit ribosomal RNA
Source: RNAcentral
GCAUAAUAAAUCGCCCUUUAAUUGUGGGCUUGUAUGAAUGGAUAAACGAAGGCUUAACUGUCUCUUUUAUACUAAUAAAAAUUGGCCUUUAGGUGAAAAGACCUAAAUAAAGUUAGAGGACAAAAAGACCCCGUAGAGCUUGGUAUCUUAGUUAAACUUUACCUUAUAAAAAUAUUAUAAACUCUAUUUUAAUAAGAGAUUCUUGGCUGGGGCGGCUAUGGAGUAAAUACCCUCCAUAAAUAUUUAAAGAUUCUACAAAUCUUACUUUAUGAUCCUAAUUUAGAUCAAAGAAAAUAGCUACCUCGGGGAUAACAGAUUAAUCCCUUUUGAGAGUUCAUAUUGACAAAGGGUUUUGACACCUCGAUGUUGGCUUAGGGUCUCCAGGGGGUCAGCAACAGCCCCCAAAGGUAGGUUUGUUCAACCUUUAAAACCCU